Mycena galericulata is the source of this 91-nucleotide non-coding RNA. NCBI's taxonomy places the organism in Eukaryota, Fungi, Basidiomycota, Agaricomycetes, Agaricales, Mycenaceae. The record is from the annotation of a GenBank genome assembly.
GGCUCAGUAGCAGAGGGUCUGCAUCUGCUUUUGAUAGAGAGGAGAGCCAUUUAUAAUGCAGAAUAAGCCUGUUCAACUCAGGCCUGAGCCA